RNAcentral lists this transfer RNA (75 nucleotides) under Parapsyche difformis. RNAcentral describes it as "tRNA-Trp". The record is from RNAcentral. Lineage: Eukaryota; Metazoa; Arthropoda; Insecta; Trichoptera; Hydropsychidae.
AAAGUUUUAAGUUAAAUAAACUAUUAAUCUUCAAAAUUAAUUUUAAAGGCCCAACAUAUAAUUCUUUAAGCUUUA